AACGAACGCUGGCGGCAGGCUUAACACAUGCAAGUCGAACGAUUAAAGCACCUUCGGGUGUGUAUAAAGUGGCAAACGGGUGAGUAACACGUGGGAAUGUACCCUUCGGUUCGGGACAACCAUUGGAAACGAUGGCUAAUACCGGAUACGAACUACGGUUGAAAGAUUUAUCGCCGAGGGAUCAGCCCGCGCUAGAUUAGCUAGUUGGUGAGGUAAUGGCUCACCAAGGCAACGAUCUAUAGCUGGUUUGAGAGGAUGAUCAGCCACACUGGGACUGAGAUACGGCCCAGACUCCUACGGGAGGCAGCAGUGAGGAAUAUUGGACAAUGGAGGAAACUCUGAUCCAGCCAUGCCGCGUGAGUGAUGAAGGCCCUAGGGUUGUAAAACUCUUUCAGAUGUGAAGAUAAUGACAUUAGCAUCAGAAGAAGCCCCGGCUAACUUCG
This 443-nucleotide ribosomal RNA is filed under the name uncultured Alphaproteobacteria bacterium. RNAcentral describes it as "bacterial SSU rRNA". It matches the Rfam family "Bacterial small subunit ribosomal RNA", at positions 29 to 505 of the family's 1533-position model. Lineage: Bacteria; Pseudomonadati; Pseudomonadota; Alphaproteobacteria. The record is from RNAcentral.